GUGUGUGGUGUAGUGGUUUGACUGUUGGCCUAUGACUCUGGAGACCAGGGUUCGAUUCCCAGCUCGGCCA
Molecule: non-coding RNA, 70 nt
Organism: Phrynosoma platyrhinos (Desert horned lizard)
Lineage: Eukaryota; Metazoa; Chordata; Lepidosauria; Squamata; Phrynosomatidae
Source: the annotation of a GenBank genome assembly